This 744-nucleotide ribosomal RNA is filed under the name uncultured Hyphomicrobiales bacterium. RNAcentral's name for it is "bacterial SSU rRNA". It matches the Rfam family "Bacterial small subunit ribosomal RNA", at positions 8 to 796 of the family's 1533-position model. The record is from RNAcentral. Lineage: Bacteria; Pseudomonadati; Pseudomonadota; Alphaproteobacteria; Hyphomicrobiales.
AGAGUUUGAUCCUGGCUCAGAACGAACGCUGGCGGCAGGCUUAACACAUGCAAGUCGAACGCUCAUCUUCGGAUGGGAGUGGCAGACGGGUGAGUAACGCGUGGGAACGUACCCUUCAGUUCGGAAUAACCCAGGGAAACUUGGGCUAAUACCGGAUACGUCCGAGAGGAGAAAGAUUUAUCGCUGAAGGAUCGGCCCGCGUCGGAUUAGCUAGUUGGUGAGGUAACGGCUCACCAAGGCAACGAUCCGUAGCUGGUCUGAGAGGAUGAUCAGCCACACUGGGACUGAGACACGGCCCAGACUCCUACGGGAGGCAGCAGUGGGGAAUAUUGGUCAAUGGGCGCAAGCCUGAACCAGCCAUGCCGCGUGAGUGAAGAAGGCCUUAGGGUUGUAAAGCUCUUUCAGCGGGGACGAUAAUGACGGUACCCGCAGAAGAAGCCCCGGCUAACUUCGUGCCAGCAGCCGCGGUAAUACGAAGGGGGCUAGCGUUGUUCGGAAUUACUGGGCGUAAAGCGCGCGUAGGCGGGCAUUUAAGUCAGGGGUGAAAUCCCAGGGCUCAACCCUGGAACUGCCUUUGAUACUGGAUGCCUGGAGUUCGGGAGAGGUGAGUGGAAUUCCGAGUGUAGAGGUGAAAUUCGUAGAUAUUCGGAGGAACACCAGAAGCGAAGGCGGCUCACUGGCCCGAUACUGACGCUGAGGCGCGAAAGCGUGGGGAGCAAACAGGAUUAGAUACCCCAGUAGUCC